This 321-nucleotide ribosomal RNA is filed under the name Filamoeba nolandi. RNAcentral describes it as "partial Bacterial large subunit ribosomal RNA". It matches the Rfam family "Bacterial large subunit ribosomal RNA", at positions 569 to 910 of the family's 2925-position model. The record is from RNAcentral. Lineage: Eukaryota; Evosea; Variosea.
AGUAGUUGUCUUUAAUAAUUUUUUUAGCAACGUACCUUUUGCAUAAUGGGUCAGCUACUUAAUUUAAAUAGCGAGCUUAAUUUAUGUAAAUUAGUAGGCUUUUAAUAGUUAUUUAAAUUAGACCCGAAACCAAAUGAUCUAUCUGUUAGCAGGCUGAAGUUUUUACUGUAAAAGGUAGCGGAGGGCUGUACCCGUACAUGUUACAAUAUGUUGGGAUGACUUGCGGAUAGGGGUGAAAGGCUAAUCAAAUUUGGUUAUAGCUGGUUUCUCGCGAAAACUAUUUAGGUAGUUUGUUGAUUUAGUUUAUUAUAGGUAAAGAAA